Molecule: ribosomal RNA, 292 nt
Filed under: uncultured eukaryote
Lineage: Eukaryota
Description: partial 18S ribosomal RNA
Rfam family: Eukaryotic small subunit ribosomal RNA
Source: RNAcentral
GGUUGAUCCUGCCAGUAGUCAUAUGCUUGUCUCAAAGAUUAAGCCAUGCACGUCUAAGUAUAAACGAGAUUAUAUAGUGAGACUGCGGAUGGCUCAUUAAAUCAGUUAUAGUUUAUUUGAUGGUUCCUCUCACCACUUGGAUAACCGUGGUAAUCCUAGAGCUAAUACAUGCAUCACACCCUGACUCGAGGCCUGGGGCGGUCCUUUACCAAGGGAUCGUUCCAGUCACCUUGGGAAAGGGCGUAUUUAUUAGGUACAAAAACCGGCACAGGUAGGGGCAACUCUGCCUGAU